This 492-nucleotide ribosomal RNA is filed under the name uncultured bacterium. RNAcentral describes it as "partial 16S ribosomal RNA". It matches the Rfam family "Bacterial small subunit ribosomal RNA", at positions 29 to 507 of the family's 1533-position model. The record is from RNAcentral.
AGUGAACGCUGGCGGUAGGCCUAACACAUGCGAGUCGAACGUCAGCACAGUAAGAGCUUGCUCUUACGGGUGGCGAGUGGCGGACGGGUGAGGAAUACAUCGGAAUCUACUUUUUCGUGGGGGAUAACGUAGGGAAACUUACGCUAAUACCGCAUACGACCUACGGGUGAAAGCAGGGGAUCUUCGGACCUUGCGCGAUUGAAUGAGCCGAUGUCGGAUUAGCUAGUUGGCGGGGUAAAGGCCCACCAAGGCGACGAUCCGUAGCUGGUCUGAGAGGAUGAUCAGCCACACUGGAACUGAGACACGGUCCAGACUCCUACGGGAGGCAGCAGUGGGGAAUAUUGGACAAUGGGCGCAAGCCUGAUCCAGCCAUACCGCGUGGGUGAAGAAGGCCUUCGGGUUGUAAAGCCCUUUUGUUGGGAAAGAAAAGCAGCAGGUUAAUACCCCGCUGUUCUGACGGUACCCAAAGAAUAAGCACCGGCUAACUUCGUG